GAUUAUCAUUAAGAAUAAUAAUUAUUAAUAAUUAUUAAUAAAUAAUAAUAAAUAUUAUUAAUUAUUAAUAAUUAAUUAUAAAUAAAUAAUUAAUAAUAAUAAUUAUCUAAUUAUUAACAAUUAAUUGCAAAUAAUAAAUAAUAAAUUAAUAAUAAUAAUUAUCUAAUUAUUAAUAUUUAAUUAUAAAUAAUAAAUUAUUUAAAUUAUUUAAUUAUUAAAGUAAUAAAUAAUGAUUUAAAUAUAUUAAUUAGAUUAAUUAAUAAUUUACUGCCAUUAAAAUUAAAUUUAGAUUUUAAUUAAUCUUGUUCUCAUCAAGGAACAAGCUUGUUCCAGAAAACGGGUGGAACAGCAGUUCCAGUCUUAUACCAACUAAUUCCAGAUUCUCGAAAACUACUGUUCCCGGGAACCAAACAUUGUGUUUGGGAACAAAGGGGGGAACAAGGGCUUAUUCCCCCCUUGUUCCCGAACCAAACACCACCUAAAAAUUAUUUUAUAUAUAUCUUUACCUUCUCCGUGCAGUGAACGACUCGCACCAGAGCAACGGUGCGGGAGGCCGCGUGAGGGGAUUUAUAGGAGUGUGGGAGGUGUUUGAAUCGGAUCGGAUCUGAAUCCAAUAAAGGGUAAUGGAAUAUCUCGCUAUUUUUUGGGGUUGUUAACUUAACCCUCAAAAUUUAAUUUAUUAUUUUAUAAUUUUUAACUGGAAAUUUUAGAAUUGUUAUAAUUAACUCCUACAAUCUAAUUUAAUUAACUAAAUAUUGACGCAUCGCUGAUAUAAAAGUGAUGUGGAAUCUUAAUUAUUGGCUUAUUAUCAAUUAUAACCCUGCUACAUUAUUUUUACGUUAGCGGAAUAUGAAUAAUUGCUCAACGAAAUCAGGUUAUAAAACUUGAUUGUAGCAAUUCGGAAAGUUCUAAUUUGAAAUUACAGCAAAUUAAAAUUGU
Molecule: long non-coding RNA, 939 nt
Filed under: Ananas comosus (pineapple)
Lineage: Eukaryota; Viridiplantae; Streptophyta; Magnoliopsida; Poales; Bromeliaceae
Description: long non-coding RNA (ACOM_LNC036466)
Source: RNAcentral